UUAGAUCAUAUGUCGUGUAAUUUACUGAAGGCUAAACCAAGUGAGCCCUAAAGUAAUUCUUAUAAUAGGGUUUUGAAAACUCAAAUACAAAUUUGUAAUAUAGAUAUUCAUGUUAAGAUUGUUUUAGACUUCUUCACACGAAAUCGUAUUGCUUUCUACUAGCUUUCUCUAAAACAAUUAUAAAAUCAUCUGAAUUAGUGUAUUAUUGAUAUUUUUAUGAAUUAAGAGUCAAGGAAAUAAAGUUUCAUAUUUGAGAAACAUUGUUGGAAGAAUGAAUAAGAAAACUAAAAAAUAUCAUUCAGUGGAUAUGUUUUAAUAAUUCAUUAGGUAAUAACCCGCGCCUUGCAUGAGAUAUGAUUAUUAGUUUCGUUAUUUUUGAUAAAAAAGACAUUAAAUCUGUUUAAUUUAGAUAUUGGUCCGGUUUUAAGUUUUUUUUUUUGUUUUUAAUCUUCUAAAAUAUAACUAUUAUUUUAAAUUAAUAUUCAUUUUAGUUUAUUCGGUUAAAAUGUUUGAUUUUUUGGUUUUUUCCGAUAAAAACGAAAGAUUAAUAUUAUUUUUUUAUUUUUCAUGCUUAUGAAUUUUAGAUAGUCGUCAUGUCGAACCAAUAGUUUCGUACUAUAGUUUCGAAACAGAUAAUAGUUUAAGAAAAAGAAAAAAAAAUUAUUAAGAUAAAUCAUUUCACUACAAUUUGGUCGGUAGUGAAAGAAGCAUUAAGAAAAAAUAUUCAACUUUCAAAAAAAUUAGAUAAAAAAUUAGAUACUUCAGUUGUGGUGAAUACUUAGACCAUCUUUAACCUUAGUUUCUUAACUGAGGUUAUUAGCUUCUACUAAGAGAUGGUUCUUAGAUUUUCUUAUAUUUUAACUAAGAAAAGUUAAGAAAUGCCUUUUAAAUAAGAGAUAUAAGAGCCGUCUCUUAGCCGAAAAGUGUAAAAAAAAAUAAACAAAAAAGUGUCAAAUCAUGAAUUAAGAACCCCGGCUAAGAGACUGAGGUUAAUGAUGCCCUUAGUUACAAGGUGCUCAUAUCAAGGUGCACAUGUAUAUGUAUGUAAAAAGUAUAUAAAAAUAGUUGACAAAUAUAUAAAGAUAUUGUUAAUUAAUACUAAAUGACAUUUUUGUUCAAAAUAAUACAUGAAAGAUAAAAUUAAAAUUAAUUUAUAAUAGAAAAAGGCCUUGACAUUAGUCAUUUUUUACAUAUAAAGAAAAUAAAAUUGUAUAUGUAAAUAAGGGUGGGC
RNAcentral lists this long non-coding RNA (1231 nucleotides) under Brassica rapa (field mustard). Its description in RNAcentral is "long non-coding RNA (BRAP_LNC005187)". The record is from RNAcentral. Lineage: Eukaryota; Viridiplantae; Streptophyta; Magnoliopsida; Brassicales; Brassicaceae.